CUCAGGGGGUGUCUGUAUUAUUGAACUAAUCAAACCACCAUAAAAAGGAUAGGUUAUUAAUGACAGGUCUAAUACUGUGAUUUAAUCAUAGAAAAGCAGUUUAGGCAUAGCAUCCAUAAUUCACAUUCAUGUGGUGUAAUAAUGCACUGUAUAUAGUAUUGGAGCUAUGCUAAGCUGACACGUGUAUGGCAUGUGUACACUAAGCAUUCCUUUUUUUUUGUUUGUUUGUUUGUUUGUUUUUUAAAUGACCAUUAUUGUUUUUAUUAUUUUGUACUUUAUUUAAGGUCAAGCUUUUGUGAGAUAUAUUUGUAUAAUGAUUUUGCUUUUUAAAUGCUUUAAUGAGGAUCAAAUCAAUCCUUAUUAUAUUGGGAAUGUGAGUAAGUGAAAAGCUACAGGUUUAAAAGUGCAAUCUUUGCUUUUUAAUAUAUCGUUCCAUUGAUUAUCUUUGGAGUGUUGUAUUUUCCUGAAGCAGAUUAUGUGAACCACGUACACUGUACAAGUUGUAAAGGAACUUUCCUGCAACUCUUCUGUUACCAGACCUUCAUCGUGUACUAACAUAAGCGUAUAAUGUUGGUGCGACUGUAAUUCUUCCCUCCUGUCCUAUACCAUUCUAGACUACACUGUAGAAAUGAUCUGUCCCUGUCAUGGAUUUCAAUUCAUUUUUAUAUGUAGGUGAGAUGUGAGAAAUUCAGGAUUUCUGAAAACGGGUCUUUAGGAUUUAUUGAAUGAAACCGUUUUUAUCUUCUAAUCAUUAAAUUAGUAGAAUUACAGUCUUAGAUUAGUGUAAUAUACAGCUAGUCAGUAUGUCUCAAUAGCAGCAAAAAAAAAAAAAAAAAAGUCCUCCAAACAUUUCCAGUACUAGGUGAUUCAGGUUUUGUUUAUUUAUUUAUUUUUAUAUUAAAAAAAUUCAGUAUUCAUCUCUGCAUUUCAGUCAUCUGCAGGUCAUCUGAGAUUCCAUGUAAUAUCCCAUGUAAGUUUUUUGAGGAAGUUCAAUGAUGAUCACAGAGACCUGACUGGCUUUUGUCGAGUACCCUGUUAAGGAGAUGUAUUCUUUUUGCUUCUAUUAAUAUUGUUUUAUGUUCCAGUUGUCCUGCCUUGGUUUCUCUGUAACUGACACGCAUUGAGAGUGAUGCAAAGUCCUGUGCCUUUUCCUGACUUAUAAUAAACAUUACUGCAAAACUCCUGAA
Long non-coding RNA from Ictalurus punctatus (channel catfish), 1187 nucleotides. NCBI's taxonomy places the organism in Eukaryota, Metazoa, Chordata, Actinopteri, Siluriformes, Ictaluridae. The record is from Ensembl.